CUCAGCUCGGGAACGCGCAUAUGUGCAGUAGAGCGCUCAGUUCAUUCUUAGAGCAUCAUUCAAUGCCGUUCUAAAGAACGCGAUUGGUACAGCACAAAUGCACCCACGCGCACCAGAGAGCGAUGACUCUUCUCAAAGAGAAGAGUCUGAUCGAGUCCUGCUAUUUCGUCAUGUUGACGAAAAAGGGGGCGUAGCCUGCUGAGGAACUCGGCGCUGGAAUGGAGACAAGUUUAUAUAAGAAAA
Pelobates cultripes (western spadefoot toad) is the source of this 243-nucleotide non-coding RNA. The record is from the annotation of a GenBank genome assembly. NCBI's taxonomy places the organism in Eukaryota, Metazoa, Chordata, Amphibia, Anura, Pelobatidae.